RNAcentral lists this ribosomal RNA (332 nucleotides) under uncultured bacterium. RNAcentral describes it as "bacterial SSU rRNA". It matches the Rfam family "Bacterial small subunit ribosomal RNA", at positions 568 to 898 of the family's 1533-position model. The record is from RNAcentral.
CGUGUAGGCGGCUUGACAAGUCAGAUGUGAAAUCCCUGGGCUUAACCCAGGAAGUGCAUUUGAAACUGUCAGGCUAGAGUAAGGGAGAGGAAAGUGGAAUUCCUGGUGUAGAGGUGAAAUUCGUAGAUAUCAGGAGGAACACCGGUGGCGAAGGCGACUUUCUGGCCCUAUACUGACGCUGAGACGCGAAAGCGUGGGUAGCAAACAGGAUUAGAUACCCUGGUAGUCCACGCUGUAAACGAUGUUCACUAGGUGUUGGGGGUAUUGACCCUUUCAGUGCCGCAGCUAACGCAUUAAGUGAACCGCCUGGGGAGUACGGUCGCAAGAUUAAA